This is a long non-coding RNA of Perca fluviatilis (European perch), 2265 nucleotides long. RefSeq lists it as uncharacterized. NCBI's taxonomy places the organism in Eukaryota, Metazoa, Chordata, Actinopteri, Perciformes, Percidae. The record is from RefSeq and is a predicted model, not a curated record. The transcript is spliced from 3 exons.
GGGGAGGAUACGCUGAUGGGAAAAACAAGAGUGGAACACAACAGUGAAGGUUUGGUGAAAAAGCAGACAAGCCUCUGACGCACUUCUGACGCACUUCUGUUUUAAAGUCUCCAAUGGCUCUGCGUGCUCUUGUUUCUACUGCUGUCCACUCACAGACAUCACGUAACUUCGGCACAAACUCUAAACACACAGGACUCGUGCUCCUUUUUGUCAACGAGAAAACAACUGCCACGUCAUUGAAACGGAACAAAAGAUCUCAGCUGUUGGUCAUAUUACAUGUGUACACAAGUUUUCAUGGCCAACCUGACAGCACCAGCUCUGCACGCUGAGCUCACUCUGACUGAAGGUCUGUUUAUCAGUGAAAUCAGCUGAUGUAGUAUUUAAACAUGGCUCUAGACGACACAUUGUUGGACGCAACUAGUUUGUGCAGCAUUAAUGGGAAAACAAAACAGGCAAUUCUCUACGAGGAUUGAAAUGCUACAACUGGGAAGCAAAAACAUUAUUAAUUUGUCUGAAUGUAGCAGCUUAUUCUGAUUUGUAAUUCUCUAGAUUUAAAGUGGUACUCGUACUACGUAGUAUUUUACUUACAUAAUGUUGGGGGCUUGAAAGACAGAUAUAUUAAAGAAAGAAUGGUUAAAAUGUAUGCUACAAAAGUCGAGAUAUCCUGACAUCAAGUCGUUACUUAUGGGUCUUUUCUCCAAAAACGGAUGCUACUGUACGUCCCAUAAUGCAACUUGAAAGCAUCUUUCUGUUAGACCCUGUUAAACACCCACAUUUUUCAUUUUUCUGCACUUAGGGAAUAAAAGACUUGCAGGCUUUAUUUUAAAAAAGAAAUCAUAAUUAGGGUUAUGUUCUUGAUUCUAUAAUAAAAAUAUGUUUUUGUAUUUUACAUUGCAGCUAACGGUAAGCAUCGUGAUUCCUUGUCCACUAGGCAAUGAUCAGGGUAGUACUCCACAUGAUGCAAAAAUUACAUUUAAAGUUAGUGGAGUGUCCCUUUAAGAAAUUACUGAGAAUAUGGGAAAUGUGGAAAUGAAAAGAAAAGAAUGACUUGAACACAGCAUCGACAGAUAGAUAAGUGUCCUGGCGAGCCAUAUGGCUAACCAGCACAACAACUGAUGUCACAGUUACGUGGUCUGUGCUCAUCUCUGACUGAAGGUCUCACACACUUGUUGCUAUGGACUGUUUUUCACACCAGACCACUUGAGCCUCCAUUAUUCAGAGUAAACACACAGUGAAUCCAACACUACAGACAUACUGUGUGCCUUGCAGCUUUAACGCAGGAAUACUGAAAUCUACAUAGUAUGUUCUUCUCUUUAUUAUCCAUCAUGUUCAGUCAGCUUGCACUGUAUGGAUCUCUGUUGUCCCAUUCUGUUUGUCUAUUGUGUUGUGAUUUAUUGUAGAAUUGUACAACUAGCAAAAGCAUUUUGGCAGUGUUAUUUUUGGAAGGAUAUGUCUCAAGGUCUGUUUUGAACCUCUUCAUCACAUUUUCUUAGCGUCCAAUGUGACUUAAUGUGACCUAAAUAUGUCCAACAAACAGUCCAAAACUCAAAGAAAUGUUAUCUAUGAUUAUCUAAAAAAAGCCUAAUUCUCACAGUAUAGAAGCUAUAUGUUACUCUUUUUUGCUUUACAACUGUCUUAAAGUAGUCUGGAUGACAGUUCAUUUACACACUUGGAGCAACAAGACAGGCCUGCUUGGUUCUUUCAGGGAAUGAUUGUAAAGAUUAACAAAGAAUAAGUUUACAGCAUUUCCUUUACUCUUUCAUGGCUCACUUUACACCAAAGAAUAACAGUUACUUUAGGUACUAUGAUAUAUAACACAUUGACAAUGAAAAUGCCGAUUUCUCAGUUUAAUCAAUUAGUGUAUUGCAACUCCGUGCAUAAUCAUAACACUAGAAAGGCAAAUACUGUUCAUAUAACAAUCCCUUAUCCAAAAACUAAUUUUAUGAUGAAAACUGUCCUGUAUAGAGCUAUUGUCAUCUGGAAUAACAUUCCUAUUGAAGUGCGUCAGCUUUGUAAUAAGCAGUCAUUUAAAAGAAAUCUUAGAUGUUUUGUGUUGAUGUAGGUUUUUAUAUGUUUUGAUUAAAGUAAUUAUAUUAAUAUUGUAUUAAUAUUUAGUCCUACUAUGAAUGGAAACUAGAGUGUAUGUAUGUAUGUGUUUGUGUAUGUAUGUAUAGAUAUGAAAUGUGUAUAUGUGAUUUUGUUAUGAUUGAAAUGUGUAUAUUGUUGUAAUGUAAUUUUUUUUUUUUUAGAAUGGACCCCAGGGAG